Molecule: ribosomal RNA, 429 nt
Filed under: Gemmatimonadota bacterium
Lineage: Bacteria; Pseudomonadati; Gemmatimonadota
Description: Gemmatimonadetes bacterium partial 16S ribosomal RNA
Rfam family: Bacterial small subunit ribosomal RNA
Source: RNAcentral
UAGGGAAUCUUCGGCAAUGGACGAAAGUCUGACCGAGCAACGCCGCGUGAGUGAAGAAGGUUUUCGGAUCGUAAAACUCUGUUGUUAGAGAAGAACAAGGACGUUAGUAACUGAACGUCCCCUGACGGUAUCUAACCAGAAAGCCACGGCUAACUACGUGCCAGCAGCCGCGGUAAUACGUAGGUGGCAAGCGUUGUCCGGAUUUAUUGGGCGUAAAGCGAGCGCAGGCGGUUUCUUAAGUCUGAUGUGAAAGCCCCCGGCUCAACCGGGGAGGGUCAUUGGAAACUGGGAGACUUGAGUGGAGAAGAGGAGAGUGGAAUUCCAUGUGUAGCGGUGAAAUGCGUAGAUAUAUGGAGGAACACCAGUGGCGAAGGCGGCUCUCUGGUCUGUAACUGACGCUGAGGCUCGAAGGCGUGGGGAGCAAACAGG